AUGGUUGAAGUUUUUCAAUAUUGUGUAUGAUAAUUUGCCAUUAUAUUGCAACCACUAUAAACACCAAGGACAUGAUGAAAAUACAUGUCGCGGUUGAAUGAAAAGGCAGUAGGGAGCAUGCCAGGUGAGGAAGAUGAUGUCGUGCAAAGAGAAGAAGAGAUACUGGUUAAGGAAGAUAAGUUAGUUAAGAAGUAUCAAGGUGAUUUGAGGCAAUUGCUUAGUGAAAAAAAGUGACUUCCAGGUUUGAUUGAGGCAACAGGUGUCGAGGAUAAAGCCCAUAGAACUGAUGGUGUACAGAUUCAUUAUAAAUCUGGGAAUCAGUCAUUAAAAGAUGCUACUGCUGGGGCAUUAAAAGAUGCUUUGCUUCCUGUUGAAACAGCUCUUGCCAAGGCUUGUAAUGAUACCUGAUGUUGUGAAAAAUAAACUCCCAGCUGAUAUACCUGCUACAAGAGCUUUGUCCACGAUUUACAAGGCAGUGAGUAAGGCAACUACAGAUGCACUAGCUGGAGAUGUUCGUGGAUAUGCUGAAAGUUCAAAUUGGGCAACACUGGAUACUACUGUUGUUAAACCUACUAUUGCACUUACAAUUGAAAAAAGAGUUGGGUUAAAUGCUACUGUUGUGCAUGAUUAGGGGCAAGGUGUUGAACGUGUGAGAACUUUAAAUAAUAUAAAUGAUGCAGGUAUUAAGGCAAAGGAACAAGCUAGGCAGAUGCAAGAAACUACAAAAGAUCAACAAAAUACAUAGUUCAAGUAGGGGAGGAAAAAUCUGGGCAGUUUAUUGGGGUUACUGGGGGUGUUGAUUGCCAAGUUGCUACUGCUACUGCAUUAAAGGCUGCUGCUGAUCGACAUGUUUAUUCAAAUAAGAUUUAUAAUGUUCAACAAGUCGAUGGGGCAUAUGUGAUUCAAAUUGGUAAUGGGCGAGGGAUUUCGUUUAUCAACCAACUACUGAAAAUGCAAGUCCAAUAUCUGCAGCCCUGAAGCAAGGUUCUCUGUUUUCUGAGGGGGGAUUUACUAGUAUUCACAAUGCAGUGCGUAAUGCAACUGUUAGAGAUCGUGGAUAUGCUGAAAUGUCAAAUUUGGAGGCUACUGCAGCAUUGAAGGCAGUUGGUGAUCGAGUUGUUUAUGGGGUAGUUGAACCUACUGCUGCACAUGCCGAUUUAAUUGAAAAAUCAUUAGGUCCAAUAACAUCUUUGUCUAGCAAAAAUAAUGUUUCAGUUCACAAAACUCAAACUAGUGUAGAAAAACUCAGUGAAACACCUACAGAAGCACGUGCACAAUUCUAUGCACCUGAACAGAUUCCAUCAGCGUUUCUAUUUCAAUUUUCUGCUGUGCAGCCAGAAAAUAAUUCUAUUCUUAUGGAUGGAAGAUUUAUGGAUCGUGUAGAUGUUAUGGAAUUCGAGUAUGCAGUAUCUAACUUAGCACAAAUACUGGUUGUAAGUACGACCAAUAAUAAAGAAAACGUGGCAACAUUGAAUUGGUUAAGAAUAGUAGUGCUCGACAACAUGCUAAUGUGAACAACUUGGCGGAGGGGUUAACGGUCUGUUAAACACGAAGCUCCAACACUCCUAAUCAACAUUCUUCCAGUCCACAUGUGAAAAAAAUCAUUAAGGAAACUCAGGUUUCCAUGAUGUCGAACGCCACUCCUAUGGCCAAACAACCGUUGGUCACUUUGAAUACAUCGGCACAUGAGAUUCCUUUUCAAUCAUUGGAGUCAUUUGGUGAGUAUUGUAUUGAAUCCGAGCAGCUCCUACUAUCCAUAUGGAAUGAUUAUGAUAUAGUCAAAGAGGAUAUGAGGGAGGAGAGUAAUAUGCAAAUUUGCUGUGGGCUGAUCAAGUUGAGGAUGAAGAGGACGAUGAUGAAGUUGAUUUUGAAUAUGGUAAUGAAAAGGAAAUUGAAUGUGGCAGCCCAUUUUCAGUGGGAUCACCAACGGCACAAGCCCAUGAUAGGGCACUCUUACAUGCAUUGGACAGUCCAACACCACACAAAUUUGCACUUUCAACAGUCGCACAAUGGCUGCAAUCUUCAGGUAAGAACAACAACACAAAUAUUCAAUCUCAAGCCUCAAUUGAUAAACCUAACAUUAAAGAAGGAGUGGUCACCAGGCAACCCCCAAUGCGAGUUGCAAAGCAAAAGGGGGCAACCCCAAUCACAUCCACAAGGCCCAAUCGAUCUAAGAAGAAAUGAUGAAUUUUGAAGACAUUUUGAAGAGAUUGGAAGAAGAAGAAGCCAAAAACCUACAAAUUGAAGAGUGCACAUGCUUGAAAAAAGAGGGGCAACAAUCAAAUAUUUACCGUAUUUUAUUUUACCAUUUUAUAAGUAUAAUCAUAUGUAAUAUCAUGAUAGAGUAUGUUAUAAAUUCUGUGAUGAUCAUACAGUGCUUAGUUCGUUCUUCUUCAUAUUUGUUACAUUCUGGUUAGUAGUUGUGUUCUUUAAUGCCUCAUUAGGAACUAUGAGGUAAGGUUUAGCGUAGUAUGUGCUUGCUCAUGUCCUACGCCUUUGGAAUAUAUCCAUACGGCUAUGAGAUCAUUCACCCUCAUGAGGCUAUGCUAGCAGCCUAUGAGGCUACGUCAAAGGACAUUGGAGGCGCAGAUGGAUGAUUAUAUAGUAAAGUCAUAGUGGCAAGACUACUGCUGCUUUUGUCGCCCUUACUUGUACUCUUCCUUUGUGAUUUUUCUGUUUAAUAUUAAUAUAAAAACUACUAGGAAUCAUGCCUGGUGGUCUAUUUGCUAACAAAAAAAAUAUUGAAAAGGAAGGGCUUACCCUAUUUGUGCUUCAGACUGAAAUCUUCCAUCCUCUCCUAUGUACAAUUCCACCCUUUCUCUUACUUAAUCAAAUUAAAGAAUGCCAUAUACUCUCAUUGCCCUCCUCUUUCUCCUCAACUCCUUGCUAUGAGUGAUCAAUUUUGAAUGAUUGUACUGAAUAUCAACGUGGGGGCCCUUGUGGAUAAAUCAAAAUUUGGGGAUAUAAAUUAGAGAGUAGGAGUAAAGAAAAAGGGUUGGACAGUUGUAUCAAUUUGCUUAAAUUUCAUCCUACUGAGUGUGAAGGACUGGCCUGAGAACGUUUUGUUUGUGCAUGAUAGGUAGUUUUCUAUAAGCCCGUGUGUGGUUGAAUUUGCGACCGCAGAAACAUUUUGCGUAUCGCAAAAUAGUCACAGAGAAAGGCAGAUAAAAGGAUAUAUCUGAAGAACAACAUGCAACCGAUAUGCGGUCGCAUAAGUUGUUAUGCGGCCACUUCUGCAUACCACAUAAUUUGUUUUGCUUCUGAGGGUUGUAUUAUGUGAUAGGUUUUGCGGAUCGCAGAGUUGUUAUGCGAUCGCAUAACUGGUCGCAGAAACAUCUUUGUUUUUAAAUUCCUUAUAAUAUGUUACCCAUGCCUUAUCACUUACUCACUCUUUAUUAAUUGACAGGAAUGGAACCAAAGAAAGUUCGAGCAUCGCGACAACCCACCAAUCAAGGAAAGAGACAUGCUGCUGCUAUAAGCCCACAAUCACAACAAUCCCAAUGCAAGCGGCCUGACUCAUCCAGAACUUUAUCUGCGUAUUCCUCCCAGUAUGAAGAGGAGGAGGCACAACUUGCUCUUAUGCCACCAGUUGACCUCCAUGCCGAAGCAUGCCGAAAGAUGGGUGAGGAUCUCAGGUUUGGGAUCUCCGGCUCUUGGACUUUGUACCUAGAUGGCCUGACAAAGAGAAAGAUCCUCGAAGAAAAGAAGCUAGGCUUGAACGGGUUAAAAUAACACUACCCCCAUGUGCUAGAAAACAUCAAAACAAGAGGAUGGGAGUUCUUCACUCAUGUUCCGGGGGAGUACAAUGAGACACUCAUUAGGGAAUUCUAUGCUUCAUAUGCUGCAUCCAGGAACGCUGAACAGGAGAGAAACCAUAGGUUUUUGGCAUCCGUCUUAGUUUGAGGGGUUGAAAUAUUCUGUGAUGCCUCCUCAAUCACUGAUAUAUAUUAUGAAGCAUGGGAAACAGGCACUUCAGAAUUUAACGCAAGAUUGCAAAUAAGUAAUCCGAGCGUGCUUGGGUAGCCUCUUUCAUAUCCAAGGGAACUCCGUCCUUGAUCGCGCCGCGCCAGAAGAUUCACAUAGGGAUCUUACACAAGAAGGCUAGUAUUGGCUCAGUUUGGUUUGUUCUCAUAUAAUGCCCUCCAGCAAUGAAACUGACCUAAGUAUCGAGAAGGCGAUCCUCAUUGCAUGCAUCAUGUUGGGUAUCAAGGUUAAUGUGGGAGAGCUUAUAUUCCGUGAGUUUAGGAUCCGGGCGAACCAGAAAGAAACCUCGCUUCUUUUUCCAUGCUUAAUCCAUGCUUUGUGUGAAGCUAGGGAAGUUCCUCCUUUACCCAAACAUGACCGUAUAGAAACAGCUGUUCAUGACUCUGACAUUACACGGAUCAAUGAUGCAUUAGAUAAAGUGAUUGAAGGUCCAUUAGAACAUUCAAUCACUCCUCUCCCAGCCUCUGCAACAUCUGCUACCUCAUCAGUGCCCGACACUUCAUCCGCGCCAGCAACAUCCACAUCCACUCCAAGACCAGCCACUGCAACACCACUUGUCUUACUGCCUGCACUUUCAAAGCUUGGGCUACUGGCACAACAUGCAAAUGCCAAAGUGGAUAAAUUGACAAAAGAACUUUCAUCUCUCUUCCGGUAAGAACUGGCCCCGAUCCAAACCUCAGUAAGUGCUCUUCAACAACAACAUCUAUCAUAUGAUAAUCGACUAAAGCGCUUGGAAGUGCGCCUUGAAAGGGUUUGAGAUAGGCAGCGAUGGGGACAUACCUCAACUAAAAAAGAAUGUAUCUGAGCUCAAGUCAGAACUGCAUAAGAUGCAGACACGGGAGUUUGAUUUGACCUCCAUUCUGCCGGUGGAAGGAGAGUAGGGCAUUGGAACCUCCCACAUACCAAGCCAUGAGUUUGAUUUUACAAACAUCAUGUCAGCUGAGGUAGCCCAUGGUACUGCGAUCUCACAAGCUCCGAGCUCCGUUUCACACACCAACGAUCCAGAAGCUGAGGAAUCUGGAGAGUCUGAUGAAGGAACUGAUGAAGAGGAAACUGAUGAGGAGAGGAUACUUGAGGGGGGUGAUAGUAAGAUGGACAAGAGAGGCAAACAAGUUGUUGGUUCUAUAUAUGCACUGGCUAAAGAGGAGGAAGAUGUGAAAAUAACCAUUGCACAGUCCCUUGCAUAUAUAGUCGCCAAAGCUACUACCAUGACCAUACAACAAUCAUUGGGUGAGGCUAGCAGCUCACAGGUCCAAGACCCAGCAACACAACUAUCCAGUCAGAUGUUCCACCUACUGCAUCUAUAGUGUCAGCCCCAAGGCCGCCUCGGAUGUUCCAACCUCCCCAAGUGCCUAGUACGCCCCAGGAAUUCCCAAAAACUUUACUCUUACUUUCUCAAUGCAUUGGGGACAAUACAUGCUCUUUCGUUGAGGGUGGGGUAGUAAAUAUUUCACAACUUGUAUAUAAAAUUUUAAUCUUAAAAUUGUAGAUUUGUAUAUAACAAUGAAUUCUCCUUAGUUUUUCUUCGCUGGGUUCUUUUCCACGGGUGUAAUAGUAGAACCAUGGCCACAAAACAUCUUGGACUUGUUUAGUGAUUUUGUUCUAGCUUCAAGCAUAUGAUAUGUUUUUGUUGAAUAAAGUGCACCCUUCAAAUUUUGUAAAUAAAUGGUUAGUCAGUCUCGUGAAAUCGAGGCUCACUUUUUGACUUUGUGCCUACUUAGAAUCUCAAAUAUCAUGUGAAGAAGCUUUGAGUUGCCUUGUAUUCACUUGAGGGCUAAAAUUAUGCCGAGUCGAAUAGUUCAUGCGUUGUGAGUGAGUUAGAAGUUGUGUAAAUAUUGCACUGCUUAACUUGUAAUCUAUAGAACUUGCCCCGUUGGUUUCUCAAAGCAAUUCUCAGGUUGAUGAUUGGGCGUUGAAAUGAUCUUAGGCUCUCUUUAUGAUUGAUAACUAAUUUUUGACCAAAUAACCUCCUUGGUACAUCUAUUGUCCUAGUUACCCCCCCUGUUGAGCCUUUAACCUUUUAUUUGGCUACUACAUUAUAAACCUUUACCCCUUUGUGAAAUAAGUUCCCUUUGAACCCGUCCUUCCUUGAACGAGUAAGAAUAAGGCUAAAAGCCUAUGUUGGGGGUGUUGGUGUUAAUUGAAAAUUGGUAAAGUUGUACAUUGUGUGUAGAAUAAAAGACCUCAUAGUUGUGUAUAUGAAGAUAAUCAAAAAAAAAAGAAAAAAAAAUGUUGGUGUGGAGUCUUAUGAAAACUAAAGAAAUACGUUGAGGUAGUUCUAUGUCGGUAACUAGAGGUCAAUUAGGGCUAUGCGGUAAAAAGCAAAGUGUAUGUAGAGUUCAAGGAGGGUACAACCACUACAUUCCCAAAUAUUCGUCCAACCCGUCCCGAAGCCUACAUUACAAACCAUGAAAAGUCCUUGGUAAUCUACAACCAAUUAUUCCUAAGAUAACAAUGAUUUAAAAUAAGGGCAAGCAUAUGGACUGAUAUUUGUAGCGUUUAGGCUCCUUUCCGAGUGCAAGAGCGUUUGAUUGUAUCCCCUGUACAUAUUUGUUGAGUUGGGGAUUUUCUUUGAUGUGAGCACGCAUGAAUUGCAAGAAUUAGCAGAAAUUAAGCCUUUUGAGGUAGGAUACAAAUGCAUAUCUAGCUAUGAGUAGCACUCUGUCAUUUUUCUAGAGGCUCAAAAGUUCACUAAAUGAUUAGUCGAACUGUACUUGAUCUUUGUCCUUGAAGAAGGGUGAGAGUUGUGGUUACAUGCUUGUUAGCUAACGGUGAGCAUCAUCCAUAGUCAUUGCUACUUUGCAAUGCAUUUAGUCAGUUCAGUUGAUAUUAUGUUAUAUUUUUGUUUGUUUGUUUGUUUGUCUCUCUUCUAUUGUAGUUGUGUUUAUUUGUUUGUUGCUUGAGGGCAAGCAAAAGUCUAAGUUGGGGGUGUUGAUGUGCCGUAGAAUUGCGGCACUUUUGAUACUAAUUACAUAGACUCUAGCUCGUCUUUUGAAGCAUUUUAAGUUAUUUUGUUAUGUAGUUUUGAUGUUUUGUAGCAAACUAGGCUUGAAGAACCAAGAACAAGGAAAGGGGAACAAAAAAACCAUAGAAUGCCAGAAAUGUUGCAGGUCUGUGACCGCACAACUGAUGUGCGGGCCGCAUACCAACCGCAGAGUGAAGCAUAUUUUCUCAGUUAUGAGAGUGGAUUGUGUGAUCUAUUGUGCGGUCGCAUAAUGCUUAUGCGGACCAAAUAAUGACCAUACAAGUGCAAAGAGAGUUUUUGCGAGAACAAGUCUGCGACAUCAAAUGCGAUCGCGAAAUAAAUAUGCGGACCAUAUAACAGAAAUGCGAUGAACAAUUGGGCAACUUGACAUUCAAUUAUGCAAUGGAGUUGCAGUUAUGCAGGCCGCGAAAGUGUUCUGCGACCUAUUCUGCGAUCGCAGAUGUGAUCCGUAGGGGUAUAUUUGUCAUAUUUUGACCCCGACUUUUAGCCUAUUAUAUAUAGAAUAACUAGGGUUUUUGAGGGACAACUACUUUGAUAGAGAGAGGCUACGCUUAGGACAUUGAAUGCACCAUUAUUUUGGAAGCAUGGGAGAUAAAAUCCAAGACUUUGUCUAUAAUUGUAAGCUUCAUGACUUUAUUUAUUACAUUGCUGUUGUAUUCUAGUAUGAGUAGAUAAGUUUAAAUAUAAAGGUUGUGAAUCCUAUAUGGGUGUAAUGUUAAUGUGUGUUCAUCAUUGAAUGUUUAUAUAAUGGAAAGUUGAUUUCUAUUCAUUUCUCAUGCGUCAUUUGUAGUUGAUGGUUGCAAAUAUUGACUAGUGCCAAUUCAUUCUAUCUUUACUUGGGAAAGUGGGUUAGAAUUUGGUAGAUUUGAAUAGCAAGAACUCAAGGCUCUAAACCCUAUUUAAUAGAAUCUCUUAGGAAUAAGUGGAUUCUAUUUUGCAUAAAUUGGUCGUUCUUAAUUAUCACUUAUUUUAUAUUUGGGAAAAUCAUAAAGAGAAACUACUAUCUAAUUGUUGGAAAAUAUUAGUUAGUAACCUAGAAAUCAUUUGCAUAUCAACGAGCUUCCCAUUUAACAAUAUGAAAUAUGGAUACCGUUAGCAUUGCAUUCCAUUGAUGGAGACACAAUCUUGGUUUCUUAAUCAAUUUUAUCAAAUUAUAUCAAUGAAAUAUCUUGUAUUGAUAAAUCUCAAUUACAACACUCUCUUUUUAAGCUAACGGAGUAGGAUUACGACUUAAGUCAAGUUUUACACUACUCAAGUAACCUUUUCACACCUAUUCCCUGUGAGAUUCAAACCCAACCUAGUUGGGUUACUAUAUUUGACAUCGGUCGCUUUAUACUAUUUAUUUAGGUGUAAUUUGAGCGUAUCUGCAUCUAGUUGGAAAGUACGUGCUUGGGAAGAUUUAAUUGGUUACGUAAUCGUAGCGAUCGUGGUAGGGGUAUGAAAGGGUGUUCAUUUGAGGAUAGUUUACUGUCCUAGAGUCUAUGUGUUUGUAUGGGACUUCAAUUCAGUGAAAGGUACAUAUUUUCAUUCAAGGCACUUAAGGAAAUGGGCCCGACUAUCACGAGGAUGGACAUGCACUAAUUAGGUGAUUUGAGGCAUCUUACGAUAGGAGUUGUACGAGCUAUGAAGGUUGAUAUUGCGGAUCAUCAGAUGAUAUGUCCUAUGGCUUUGCGCCAAGUAGGGGAGUCUACUAUCGACGAUCGGAUUGCAUGGUCAUGUGAUAUAUCAGUCUUGGUCUGAGGUAUAUAUGUGGUAUUGAAUGGUUCCCCGAAAUUUGUAUAUGGUUAAGGACUGAUAUUUGCAUGGGAUAAUGUUGGGACUUGUUGUAUUUUUGUGUCAUUAAUAAUUCUACAUUUUAGUAUCAGAGAGGUUAUUGAAACAACUUCGGAUUCACAAAAAGGUUUCUUCAGAGUGGACAUCUCGGUUGCAACAUUAUAGGGUGCUUCAGAGGAAAUAAAGUGGCUUAUGGGAUUCUAGGCCACGUGGUUCGUGCUAGGAUCUUCUGCAUCGAGAUUUGAUUUUGGGAUCAUUAUGUACCGACAAGAAGAAGUGUUACCCUUAAGAAAGGUCAAGGAGGAUCCGAAGGAAUGGGUCAGUUCGGUGGUGUUGGGCCAGCAUAGCAAGAAAGGUAAUUUGUCCUUUUUGGGUGGUAAUUCUUUAUCGGUAUUUGUGGCAGUACUAUUGGGUUUGACGGUUUGCAUGACUUGAAUGAGUUGGGAAAGUUCAGUCAUAGAUGGCAUGGGCGAUUUCAAAAGUUAAAGGAGUAUUGGAUGGAUAUCACAGAAGAAGAGAUUGCAUUUUUGGAGGCACCUUAUGUUUUGAAUUGCGGAUGUUUGACUAGUGUUACGGUGAUCGCCUGGUUUUAGGCUUCUGAAGUUCAGGUUUUGUUGCAUGGCAUGGCAGAUCUAUGUGGGUGUUUUUCGUAAGAUGAUGGAGUGUGAGUGAAAUACCAUCCAUUUGAGUAGCGGGAUUGAGAUCGGGUAUGGAUACUGGUAUUCAUGAGGUUUUGGGACUGGAUGUCCACGUAGGUAGACUAUUCCUUGAUUGUGGAUUGUGAAGAAAUGUUGAGAAUAGGAUAACUGAUGGCAUACAUUAUGGAUAGGUUUUUAUGAACUUUGGGAAGGUUAUUUAUCUGUUUGGGAAUAACCGGAGUUGGUUUGGGGGUUAUUUGAAAGCCUAAUGAGAAUGUGUAUUCUAUAUCAGAUAAGGUUUUUUUACUCUUACGCAAUUUCUAUCGUGGGUAUAUUAUCGGGCAGAAUGGAUGUUAUUCAUGCCCCAGUCUAUGCUAUGUGCUUCUCUGUUAUGCUUUGAUGGGUUGUGAGGUUAUAUAAUUAUUUUCACGCAUGUUGUAAUCCCAUUCAGGCCUUAUGGUGAUAUGGGUGGGAUGGCCCUCGUGAUGUUUAUUUGUUUAUUGCACCUUAGUUGUUCUUGCUUUUCUCCAUAUUGUAUUAUUCCCAUUCAUCUUUCCACUGUUAUAUUUGUGCUCUCUAGUGUGCUUGAUACUGGGAUACAUGUGAUUAGUGAUCCCAAGCAUUUUGGCUCGAUGGGUGUCCCUAUAUAGAUUGAUAUAUUUUGGAUCGGAUUGCGCGCCGCAACGGAUGCUAUGUGGGAUACUUUCCUUGUGGUUAUUUGAUGUUUUAUUUUCCCUCUGUGGGAUGAGUUAAUGAAAUUGCACUUUUAUUAUUAUAUUUGUUGUACUUGUUAGAUAGUUUUUGUACCUUGCUUUCUUUCUAUUGUUAGAUACUUUCUUUCUGAGUUAUUUCUUGUUUGGUGUAUGGACCAUGUUGUGUGAGAUUCUAUGUGGUUUUGGUGUGACUUAUCAGUGGGCUACUUGUAUGUGUUCAGAUGAGGUUUCUAGACCUGAGAGUUGCACUAUUGUAUUGGGAUGAGGAGUAUUUGAUUGAAUGAUACCCUAUUUCCGCUAAGAAUUGAGCAAUGAGCCUUGUCGAAUGAGAGAACUUCUUGACUAUUGAUUUUGUAGGUGAUUAUGAGUUUUCGCAUGUUUAUUUUAUCACUACCAGCAUCACGGAGGUCUAGAAUGAGGUUUUAUUUUGCAUGAAGUGUAUUACCGGUACCGAGAUUACUAUUUGGCCGAUCUGGUGGUCGGAAGUUGCUACUAUGGAUAGCUGAGGUAUGUUAAAUAUCAGGUGAUUAUACCUUGAGUUGAGGUUGUUACUUGGUCUAAGUUGUCCACGCUUACAUACGGUAUUGAUGCGAGAUUCGAGGCUUAUGAUGAGUUUCAGAAGUUGAGGAUUAGGCUCAAAGGUUUAUAGACUAAGGAUGAGGUGAGAUCUUUAGUUAAAUUGUGUUGUCAGUCUUACAUGGAUUGGGGUGAUGUUCGAUCAUCCCCGGGUGUAUGUAUGGUGAGCUCGUGCAGUGAUUUGAUAGCUUUGGAACGACUCCUGGCACGUUCGAGGACGAAUGUAUGUUUAAGUGGGGGAGGAUGUAACGACCCGACUGGUCGUUUUGAGUAUUUGCAUUCAGUUCGGCGGUUUGAGGUCACAAAUAGCUUCACAUGGUGUAUUAUGACUUACGUGCAACGUCGACUUUGGUUUUUGAGUGGUUCGGAAUUGAUUUUGUAUGAUGACCCUCACUUGAGAAGUUUGAAGUUGAAAGAGUUAACCAAGUUUGACUUUGUAUAUUUGACCCCGAAUCGGAGUUUGGAUGGUCUUGAUAGGUCCGGAUGGUGAUUUUGGACUUGGGAGUAUGCCCGGAGUUGCAUUUGAAUGUUUCUAGAAGGUAUAGGCACCAUUUGGCGGAAGUUGGCAAUUGAAAUAUUUGGAAUUUUUUGUAGUUUGAACAUGGUUUAACUUUAAGGAUAUCGAGUUCGGAUUUUGGUUUUGGGACUUGGAAUAGGUCUGUUUCGUCAUUUGGAACUUGUCUACAAAAUUUGGUGUCGUUUGGAGUUGGUUUGAUGUGGUUUGGACGCUUGGUUGCAAUUCUAGAAGUUCUUAAAGUUCAUUGUGAUUUCAAUGCGUUUUGGUGUCCGAUUCAUGAUUGAUGGUAUUUAGAUGUUUUAAUUGAGAGCGAGUUCAUAUUAUGUUUAUAGACUUGUGUGGAUAUUUGGUUUGGAGCCCCAAUGGCUCAAAUGCGUUUUGAACGUGUUCGAGGGGGGUUAGGGAGGGACCUCCCUUUUGCGAGGAAAUCAUCACUUUUGCGAAGUUGACUGAGGCCUGCAAAGUUUGCAUUUGCAUUGAAGGCCUGGGCUGGGGAAGAGUCCCUUAUGACUUCUAGUGUAGAUUCGUUAUUGCGGUUGGUUUUGUGAUACGCCGUAGUAGGUUGUAGUUAUUUGUGUAAUGCCUAUUUUAUGGGGAUCGGGUUGCAUGCUGCAACAAUAUUGAAAUGAUAUAAAAAUAUAUGAUAUGGAGCGAUAAGGACGAUGACAUGAUAUAGGUGAGAUCGGGUUGCACGCCGCAACAAAUAUUAUUAUUAUUGUUUGGAAUCAGGUUGCACGCCGCAACAGAUUGAUAUAUUGUAAUUGUUGUGACAGUAAAUUUAUCCUGAAUUGUUAUUCUCAUGGUGUGUUCUAUGUUGGAAUGGUUUAUCAGUUGGACGAUUUUAUUUUUUCCCUUAAAUCAUUUAAUUGGUAUUUGAUCAUUUAAUUUCUUGUGUUACUCUAAUGUGCCAUUAUGUGCCUCCAUUAUUACUUGGUAAAUUGAAUGUCAAGGUGAAUUAUAUGGUCAUUAUCUCAUAUUCUGUUGAGUUGUUGGUAACAUAAUGGUUUAAAAUAAAAGAAUUAUUAACAUGUCUUAUUCUAUGUGUCUCUUAAGAUAGAACUCGUUAUAUCACUCAGUUCCUUAAUAGUUUUAAAUGGAUAUCACAUUUGCACUUUAAUUGGGUUCUCAAAUUUUAUUCAUCACCCUAUUGAUGUUUACUUUACUUAAAACAGUUAUCACAUUUUAUUUCUAACAAAUCCUAAAUUUAGCUUGUUAAUUUAACUGAGGUUUUAUUUUGUUUAAAUAUGAUAUUUUUACUUUAUCUUAUUAAUUUCUAAACUAAACCCAUCUGAUACUCUAUUUGCAUGACCUUUCCUUUAUUCUACUUUAUUUGAAUCCUAAAAUAAACAUAUUAUCUCAUUUGACACCUCUUUUUAUUCAAGAUUGUUAUUAUGCUUUAUUGUGUUUUAAUAUAUCUCUCGAUCAUCUUAACUGAUAUUGAUACAUAUGCGAUGUACAUGGUAGCACGAGGACUUUGCCGUGCGAAGGUGAUUGUUAUUGUGAGCACGAGGUGCCAACGUGAAAGAUUUGAAAAUGUGGAUAACGGUUUGUGAUUUCGAGGAGUGGUACAUCAGGGUAAAACUUGUUGCAAGUCCAUGCAUUGAGAACAAUUUAAUUAAUUAAGUUUUUAUCUUUAACUUAUUGAGUUCGUUCAUAUCCCAUCGUUGUUGUGAUUAUGCUGCUGUUCUAUUACCCGUCUACUUCUUUCUAGCAUUUGAGUUUCCAUUAUCUUCGUCGUUGGUUGUAAAUUAUAAUCCUUCCAUUGUUAGUCCUACAUGUAUGUUCUUUCCAUUGUUAAUUUUGUGUUACAUCUUGUAUAGGUUUCUAUGUUUAGUAGGUGUCUUGACCUGGCCUCGACACUACUCCACCGAGGUUAUGCUUGAAACUUUUGGGUACCAUUGUGGUGUACUCAUGCUACGCUCCUGCACCAUUUUGUGUAGAUUCAUGUACUUUUGAUCGUGUUAUUGAGAGUUGUGUCUGCGCGGAUGAAGACUUCAAGGUACACCUGCUUGACGUUCGAAGGCCUCAGAGUCACCCUCAGUUAUCUUCGCAUUACUGUUUAUCCUUUUAUAAGACAAUGUUGUAUUAGAGGUUUUAGUACGUUUCUGUAGAGCUUACGACUCACUUUCACCGUGUUUUGGGAAUGUUAACUAGGUAUCAUAUUUUUAGUCGUUAUUUCUAUAAUAUUUCCUUGUUGAUUAGGCUUACCUAGACUUAGAGGCUAGGUGCCAUCACGGCAUCUUAUGGUGAGAAAAAUGGGAUCGUGACAUGGACCCCGAGAUAUACUUGUGCCAGUGAGGGGCGCCUCAACCACAAAACCAGGCUCACACCAAAAUACCCUUGAACUUUGACCAUUACUCUUCCUCAAAGGUUUGAGCUCAAACAAAUGUUAAUUCACCAACUCAACCAACAUAUAACAUGAAAGGUAGAAGGUUCAUCAAAUAACCUUUCAAAGGUUCAGCAAUUCAAAAACACCAACUUGAAAUCAAACAACCUUGUUAAGAAUUGAAGCCAUCAUUAGAGUGCCAAACCAUAAGAAACUAAGGACUUAACACAAUAUGGACCUUGAAUAUAAGAAUAGGUCAUUGUAACUGGAUCAUUAAAGGUUUGAUGGUAACAAAAGGCCUUGAUAGGUCACAAAGCAAAGAAGGUUGGUUGUAUGCUGACAGUACAUAGGUUCUAUUUCUUACAACUUCAAGUUUAAGAAUGCCUUAUUGAGUAGUCUAAAGUAUAAGUAAGUGACAAUGAUGGGCAUAUGCACUUGUUUUAUUAUUUUCAAUAAAGGUGCAACACUUUAGAACCUUCUUAAAUACGUUCAGAUCACUAGAGCAAGUAACAGACAUCUUAACAAUUUUUGGAACAGUUGUGAGCAAAUAUGCAUAUAAUAACCUCUCUUCAUUAAACACUUAUGCUAAUGACCUCACUCAGAAUUCAAAGGGGGUAUACGAAUCAGCUGGGAUAACAUGGAUAUUAACAUGACUAGGAAGGCUAGCUUUAGUCUUUAUUUAAACCUAAUGGCCGUGGUAUUUAGUCAUGACAAUGCACACAGUCUAUUAGGUUUCAAAUUACCAGAACCAAACAAUACUCAGAUUCAUUAGUGAGUACUCCCUAAUCAGUGUUGUCAAACAGUUAUGAAAUAAAAAGUAGAGAUGUUCUUUUUUAGUUGGUCAAAGCAGGGUAAGUAGAUCACAUCAAGUGACCAUUUAGACAUGUAAGCAAGUUUAUCAAUAAGUCAUGACAACAAAUCUCCCCACAAGAUUUUAUUUUAUACAAGUUGUCAUGAUAGACACACAUGAAUCAUUUUAUCAUAACUGUGCAAUACAUCACAUUAUCAUAAACAAGAUGUCAGUUAGAGUCAUUUAGGUAAACAAAUAAACAUUAGAAUAUGAGCAUAAUCAUCAAUAAGAACCAGUCAAUAGACUAGACCAAAAUAUCAUGACAUUAAAGGUUGAGACAAACAUAAUGAUGCAUGCAUAAGGGUCUUAGCUAGUUAACAUAAUGAUUUAAGCAUGAAAUUUUCUUAACUAAUGGCAUGUAAAACUUUACGAACAUUACUUGAUUAGAAAAAAUCAUGAUAAAUAUAGGCACAAACAUAAAAAUCAAUAAGUGCCAUUCAAUAAAUACAACAGUGUAGGUUGCACAUAACUACUAUCAUAGAAUUCAGACAGUCACGAGGAAUUAAUAGAUUGUUUAUAAAGACAACAAUAAGGCGUCAUUUCAGUUAUUUAAGCAUGAUCAAACGAUUCAACGAUCAUCAUGAAAUAUUUAUUUGACAACAACACAUGGAUAAACACAAUCUUCAGCAAACAUCAUUAAUAUAAACAAGAGUAACACAAGAGCAUAAUACAAUAAGAAGGUUGCAUGUGUACAGAUGAACACCAUGAAGAGGAGAAUAUCAAAUAAUAACAGAAAAAUAUCAGAACAAAGAGCUACAUAAUUAAUUGAAAGAAUGAAAGAGAGGAGUCAGUGUUCACUGACCUUCUUCAGAGAAGCAAACCCAAUAAGGAUGAUUUGUAGCCAUUUAAGAAUCCAACCUCACAACCAACUUACAAUAAUCAAACUCGAACAAGAAGAAAAGUGAAAGAGAUUAGAGAAGAACUUCGGAAUACUUAGAUCAACAGAAAAUUCUUAAGUCUUAGUGUGUGUUAUGUGUUCUUUCAAUGCCUUUUUCGUGAUUUUUCAGUGUUUGGUGAGAGCAUUAAAAGCUCUAGUUAUAGUAGUAUUGAAGCCUUAGGGCUUCAUUUGAAUUCAAAGGGAUAGUGGGGGAUGACGAGUGAUGAGUGACUGAUGAUGAUAUCAAAAGGGGGGAAAACAGAAGGAGAACAAAUCGGAAAUCAGGAUGGAGCUUUUACCUUGAAGAAAACUGGACGUUGGAGACCAAAGGACUAUCAGUUAAAGGAAAAGCUGGGGUU
RNAcentral lists this long non-coding RNA (15599 nucleotides) under Nicotiana tabacum (common tobacco). RNAcentral describes it as "long non-coding RNA (NTAB_LNC003117)". The record is from RNAcentral. Lineage: Eukaryota; Viridiplantae; Streptophyta; Magnoliopsida; Solanales; Solanaceae.